RNAcentral lists this ribosomal RNA (1440 nucleotides) under Bacillus pumilus. RNAcentral describes it as "bacterial SSU rRNA". It matches the Rfam family "Bacterial small subunit ribosomal RNA", at positions 401 to 1459 of the family's 1533-position model. The record is from RNAcentral. Lineage: Bacteria; Bacillati; Bacillota; Bacilli; Caryophanales; Bacillaceae.
GUGAGUGAUGAAGGUUUUCGGAUCGUAAAGCUCUGUUGUUAGGGAAGAACAAGUGCAAGAGUAACUGCUUGCACCUUGACGGUACCUAACCAGAAAGCCACGGCUAACUACGUGCCAGCAGCCGCGGUAAUACGUAGGUGGCAAGCGUUGUCCGGAAUUAUUGGGCGUAAAGGGCUCGCAGGCGGUUUCUUAAGUCUGAUGUGAAAGCCCCCGGCUCAACCGGGGAGGGUCAUUGGAAACUGGGAAACUUGAGUGCAGAAGAGGAGAGUGGAAUUCCACGUGUAGCGGUGAAAUGCGUAGAGAUGUGGAGGAACACCAGUGGCGAAGGCGACUCUCUGGUCUGUAACUGACGCUGAGGAGCGAAAGCGUGGGGAGCGAACAGGAUUAGAUACCCUGGUAGUCCACGCCGUAAACGAUGAGUGCUAAGUGUUAGGGGGUUUCCGCCCCUUAGUGCUGCAGCUAACGCAUUAAGCACUCCGCCUGGGGAGUACGGUCGCAAGACUGAAACUCAAAGGAAUUGACGGGGGCCCGCACAAGCGGUGGAGCAUGUGGUUUAAUUCGAAGCAACGCGAAGAACCUUACCAGGUCUUGACAUCCUCUGACAACCCUAGAGAUAGGGCUUUCCCUUCGGGGACAGAGUGACAGGUGGUGCAUGGUUGUCGUCAGCUCGUGUCGUGAGAUGUUGGGUUAAGUCCCGCAACGAGCGCAACCCUUGAUCUUCUGACGCUGAGGAGCGAAAGCGUGGGGAGCGAACAGGAUUAGAUACCCUGGUAGUCCACGCCGUAAACGAUGAGUGCUAAGUGUUAGGGGGUUUCCGCCCCUUAGUGCUGCAGCUAACGCAUUAAGCACUCCGCCUGGGGAGUACGGUCGCAAGACUGAAACUCAAAGGAAUUGACGGGGGCCCGCACAAGCGGUGGAGCAUGUGGUUUAAUUUGAAGCAACGCGAAGAACCUUACCAGGUCUUGACAUCCUCUGACAACCCUAGAGAUAGGGCUUUCCCUUCGGGGACAGAGUGACAGGUGGUGCAUGGUUGUCGUCAGCUCGUGUCGUGAGAUGUUGGGUUAAGUCCCGCAACGAGCGCAACCCUUGAUCUUAGUUGCCAGCAUUCAGUUGGGCACUCUAAGGUGACUGCCGGUGACAAACCGGAGGAAGGUGGGGAUGACGUCAAAUCAUCAUGCCCCUUAUGACCUGGGCUACACACGUGCUACAAUGGACAGAACAAAGGGCUGCAAGACCGCAAGGUUUAGCCAAUCCCAUAAAUCUGUUCUCAGUUCGGAUCGCAGUCUGCAACUCGACUGCGUGAAGCUGGAAUCGCUAGUAAUCGCGGAUCAGCAUGCCGCGGUGAAUACGUUCCCGGGCCUUGUACACACCGCCCGUCACACCACGAGAGUUUGCAACACCCGAAGUCGGUGAGGUAACCUUUAUGGAGCCAGCCGCCGA